RNAcentral lists this long non-coding RNA (392 nucleotides) under Helianthus annuus (common sunflower). Its description in RNAcentral is "sRNA HanXRQr2_Chr13g0584211". Lineage: Eukaryota; Viridiplantae; Streptophyta; Magnoliopsida; Asterales; Asteraceae. The record is from RNAcentral.
UAAAACAUGAGAUCGAAAUUUGUGUUGAUUAUGAAUCGAUUUUAGAUCUAUUUUUGACAUCUUGAAUAUCAAGUUUGUAGAAAGUGUUGAAUUGCAGGUUUUUAUUGUUACAUCGAAGAAGAAGAGAACAAUAUAGUUGUUAAUUACAAUUCAUAUAUCACAUCACUGUUUCUAUUGUUGUUGGCAAUUGAUGAAGCUGAAGAUGAAUGGAGCCAAGAGCAAUUUUGGUUGCAUAAUUUGAAAGAAAUUGUAGGUUGUGAUUCACGAAGAUAAAAAUUGCAGCUUUUGCUAUUUACAGCAACUCCAACGAUCAGAUGCACUCUGUGAUUUAUAUAAUAGGAUUUGUUCCCCUUGCACUGAAUCAAAUCAGAUGCUCUAUCAGUUCCAGGUAA